Molecule: ribosomal RNA, 253 nt
Filed under: uncultured bacterium
Lineage: Bacteria
Description: partial 16S ribosomal RNA
Rfam family: Bacterial small subunit ribosomal RNA
Source: RNAcentral
GACGAACCGUCCUAACGUUGUUCGGAAUCACUGGGCUUAAAGGGCGCGUAGGCGGGCGAUCAAGUCCAGGGUGAAAUCUUUCGGCUUAACCGGAAAAUAGCCUUGGAUACUGGUGGUCUCGAGGGAGGCAGGGGCCGUUGGAACUUCCGGUGGAGCGGUGAAAUGCGUUGAUAUCGGAAGGAACGCCGGUGGCGAAAGCGAACGGCUGGACCUCUUCUGACGCUGAGGCGCGAAAGCCAGGGGAGCAAACGGG